UCCCUCUUAGCUCAGUUGGUAGAGCGCGUCACUAGUAAUGGUAUGACGAGGUCAGUCGUUCAAGUCGGCUAGAGGGAA
This 78-nucleotide transfer RNA is filed under the name Armillaria solidipes. It matches the Rfam family "tRNA". Rfam says of the family: Transfer RNA (tRNA) molecules are approximately 80 nucleotides in length. Their secondary structure includes four short double-helical elements and three loops (D, anti-codon, and T loops). Lineage: Eukaryota; Fungi; Basidiomycota; Agaricomycetes; Agaricales; Physalacriaceae. The record is from Rfam by way of RNAcentral.